AUUGAACGCUGGCGGCAGGCUUAACACUUGCAAGUCGAGCGGAGUGAUGGUGCUUGCACUAUCACUUAGCGGCGGACGGGUGAGUAAUGCUUAGGAAUCUGCCUAUUAGUGGGGGACAACAUCUCGACAGGGAUGCUAAUACCGCAUACGUCCUACGGGAGAAAGCAGGGGAUCACUUGUGACCUUGCGCUAAUAGAUGAGCCUAAGUCGGAUUAGCUAGUUGGUGGGGUAAAGGCCUACCAAGGCGACGAUCUGUAGCGGGUCUGAAAGGAUGAUCCGCCACACUGGGACUGAGACACGGCCCAGACUCCGACGGGAGGCAGCAGUGGGGAAUAUUGGACAAGGGGGGGAACCCUGAUCCAGCCAUGCCGCGUGUGUGAAGAAGGCCUUAUGGUUGUAAAGCACUUUAAGCGAGGAGGAGGCUCUUUUGGUUAAUACCCAAGAUGAGUGGACGUUACUCGCAGAAUAAGCACCGGCUAACUCUGUGCCAGCCGCCGCCGUAA
RNAcentral lists this ribosomal RNA (503 nucleotides) under uncultured bacterium. Its description in RNAcentral is "partial 16S ribosomal RNA". It matches the Rfam family "Bacterial small subunit ribosomal RNA", at positions 30 to 523 of the family's 1533-position model. The record is from RNAcentral.